AGCCAGGGCCUACCCCGGGCGGCUCCCUUCCACUAUCCUCCAUUGACAAGACCGCCGCCGUCCGUGUCUUUGUCGACUUCAUCCAGGUCUUUCCAUUCGCAUUCGCUGAAAUCGUCGAGGACAAGGCCGUAUCGAUCUUUGCCAUGUGGGAGGGUUUCGCCAAGGUGCUCGUCCACUACUACCCCGUCGCCGACACAUCACGGAGCCGGUCCUCGGGGAGCCCUAGAUAUACUGCACACGGGGAAGGGGUGUGGUUCAUCGAGGCCGAGGCGAACUGCUUGCUGGAGGAGGCGCUCAACCUUGAGCACCUGCUCUGCAUCCCCAAGGACAAGCUUCUCCCGUGCCCGGCGCCCGAGACUUCCAGCAACUUCAGUGAGCACCAAAGGUACUGAAGUUUCUGAGAUCGUUAGCCGUACUGGUUGUUAUCCAAAAGUAACCGGGCUAAGUUCGAAACGCGCGGCAAUUCUGCCGUUCUCCCUCUAUAAUCGAACUGUUCAGUGUGAAAUUCUCUCGUUGCAGCCGAGGCUUGAAAAAUAG
RNAcentral lists this long non-coding RNA (537 nucleotides) under Oryza sativa tropical japonica subgroup. Its description in RNAcentral is "lncRNA OsKeNa_07g0021490". The record is from RNAcentral. Lineage: Eukaryota; Viridiplantae; Streptophyta; Magnoliopsida; Poales; Poaceae.